GCCUGGACACCAGAGGAGAUGUGCUGAAUUUCCAGUGAACUGUCAGACAUAGCGUCACAAGGAGGGCCUGCAAUUUUCGAAGUACUGUCCCAAAUUGUAUAACAGUAAAGGCAGACUUUGAGAGAAACCAGAAGUCUCUUGCUCCACAGCAUAAAACUGAAAUGGCAAGGGGCCAAGUAUAAAGGGACUGGCCAGGGACAGACAUGCGCUAUGACUGGAGAACAGAUGCGGUUUCGCGGACAUGUGAAGAGACUCUAUGAGAACAACCUGCUGGAAAGGUGGUCAAAUCUAUUAAAGUCUUCAAAGAUAACCGCUGAAUGUUGCCACCAGAAGACCCAGACCACUGUGCGAGAGACUGUAACACGACAAGGCUGAAAAGGAGAUCCACUCGACUUAUUUUUCACGUAUCCCAGAGACUGCACAGAGGAUGAGGCAUGGCUUGAGGCAGAGGCGGAGGAGACUCCAGAUUCAGGUAAAUGCAGCAAUCCCGCAACCAGCAGAGGGCCAGUUGCAUAAAUGGAAACCAGGAGACUGGGUGCUGAUAUAAGUCCGCCACUUGAGACGGAGGCCCAGGGAGAGAGUGUCGCUUCCCUCACAGACGAGGAACAAAGCAGAAGAAAGACGACAGCUCUCACUGAGGUGUAAAACCAUACCAACAACCAACAGCUGUUGCAGAUAAAGGAAGAAACGGCGAGAAAGAGACAGAAGGAACUAAAAAAAAAAAAAAAAAAAAGAGAAGAAAGACCAGUACCAACUCAUCAUAAACCAACCCGACAGUAAAAUGGACAUCAUUUAUUUUAUCUUAUAAUUAUUUAACAGAGCGCACAGACCAAGUGAGUUCAAAACUGACUGUAGAAAAUAUCCAAAUUCAAGAUCAUUGUGCAUGCAAUGCUCCAACCACAUGUAGAAUUCCUAGCUCUGCCUGCUAGCUUCAAUGACACAGAAUGCUGGCCAGUAAGUAAUCCAGAAUAUACUUUUUGCGUCAUGGCAGGAAUGUGGAUAGCACCGUGGAAAACUCAAACCCAAAUAAUGUUCUUAGAAUUUAAAUCUGAAUUAUUGUUCAAAGCCUAUAUUUUCAUCUAAAUCCUCAGCCCGCAACUGCUCAGUCGCUUGGCAUCCUCUGCCAGUGCAUCCUAUGUCAAAUGUUUCUUCUGUGUACAGGAUCCUAGCCAAAUAAUUACAGCAAAUGCUUAUUUAAAUCAAACAAAAACUGUUUCUUUUAACAGACAGUCUGCACUGCCAGAGAAGGUGUAUUUAGUCUGUGGGGACCAGUGUUACAGCUGCUUACCAAGAGAAUCCCACAGUCGUUUGUUCAUGUUUUUGAUUGCCAUUUCUGUUAUCACUUGUAAGAUUGGUCUGAUUCGCAAACAAUGCACUUAGGCCAUUGUUACCGCUAUGCAAAUUGACCUCUACCCUAUCUCAGACUGGAUUCCACCAUAUGAUGACGUUGAUAAUAUAUCACACAACUGAAGUACCCUCAAUCGUCAACUUCGGACAGAGUGGGAUUUCCCCCACCUUAUAAAGUGUUAUUGAUCCAUAAUGAUCAAAAUGACGGAUUGUAAGGGAAAUGUAACAUGUGACCAUAAUAUAAUCAUGUUUAUGUAUACUUGGAUUGAUCAUCAUUGAAUCUCUAACAAAUGUAACUUUGAUGUUGCUGUUUCCUGUAGAACUGAGUGAGUGUUGGCCUGAUUACUCCAGUCACAGUAAUCUAAUUAGUCCGGACACAGUGUGAUAGUAAUUAGCUAUUCAGGCAUUAUGAUUGAUGUAAGGAACUACUUUGAUGUUCCUUACACAAACUCACCUAACAAAGACCUUACAGCACGGGGGAUUUGUGGUGGUUGUAGACAAUAAGAAGGGAUCUUGGAGACAGAUGUUACACUCCAGGGGUCUGAGAGCAGGGGACAGGAUACCCGUCACCUAUUUCCUUUAUAUCAAAGAGGCUGAUCAAUAAGUUUGUUCCUCUCUAGGAGGAGCUUGAAGAUGUUUGAAGUCCUGCUUCUCCUGUGUCAUUAACUGUUUAACAACCCCCUCCCGAAUGGGUGGGGUUAGCCAAAUGUAUAAAUACCAACCACUGUCUUCCAUCUGGGUGCAUAUGACAAACUCAACUCUGUUGUAUGUACCAUGCUCGAGCAUUAAAUGUGUGACAAUACUGUAAGAGAA
This is a long non-coding RNA of Pleuronectes platessa (European plaice), 2160 nucleotides long. RefSeq lists it as uncharacterized. Lineage: Eukaryota; Metazoa; Chordata; Actinopteri; Pleuronectiformes; Pleuronectidae. The record is from RefSeq and is a predicted model, not a curated record. The transcript has 2 exons.